UACGUAGGGUGCGAGCGUUGUCCGGAAUUAUUGGGCGUAAAGAGCUCGUAGGCGGUUUGUCACGUCUGCUGUGAAAUCCCGAGGCUCAACCUCGGGUCUGCAGUGGGUACGGGCGGACUGGAGUGCGGUAGGGGAGAAUGGAAUUCCUGGUGUAGCGGUGGAAUGCGCAGAUAUCAGGAGGAACACCGAUGGCGAAGGCAGUUCUCUGGGCCGUAACUGACGCUGAGGAGCGAAAGCGUGGGGAGCGAACAGG
Molecule: ribosomal RNA, 253 nt
Filed under: uncultured bacterium
Lineage: Bacteria
Description: partial 16S ribosomal RNA
Rfam family: Bacterial small subunit ribosomal RNA
Source: RNAcentral